CUACGUGCCAGCAGCCGCGGUAAUACGUAGGUGGCACGCGUUGUCCGGAAUUAUUGGGCGUAAAGCGCGCGCAGGCGGAUUGGUCAGUCUGUCUUAAAAGUUCGGGGCUUAACCCCGUGAUGGGAUGGAAACUGCCAAUCUAGAGUAUCGGAGAGGAAAGUGGAAUUCCUAGUGUAGCGGUGAAAUGCGUAGAUAUUAGGAAGAACACCAGUGGCGAAGGCGACUUUCUGGACGAAAACUGACGCUGAGGCGCGAAAGCCAGGGGAGCGAACGGGAUUAGAUACCCCGGUAGUCCUGGCCGUAAACGAUGGGUACUAGGUGUAGGAGGUAUCGACCCCUUCUGUGCCGGAGUUAACGCAAUAAGUACCCCGCCUGGGGAGUACGACCGCAAGGUCGAAACUCAAAGGAAUUGACGGGGGCCCGCACAAGCGGUGGAGUAUGUGGUUUAAUUCGACGCAACGCGAAGAAUCUUACCAGGUCU
RNAcentral lists this ribosomal RNA (481 nucleotides) under uncultured bacterium. Its description in RNAcentral is "bacterial SSU rRNA". It matches the Rfam family "Bacterial small subunit ribosomal RNA", at positions 501 to 981 of the family's 1533-position model. The record is from RNAcentral.